UGAAACUUCGGUCGAUUUAAUUUAAUUCUAGUGGCGGACGGGUGAGUAACGCGUGGGUAACCUGCCUUAUACAGGGGGAUAACAGUCAGAAAUGGCUGCUAAUACCGCAUAAGCGCACAGAGCUGCAUGGCUCGGUGUGAAAAACUCCGGUGGUAUAAGAUGGACCCGCGUUGGAUUAGCUUGUUGGUGGGGUAACGGCCCACCAAGGCGACGAUCCAUAGCCGGCCUGAGAGGGUGAACGGCCACAUUGGGACUGAGACACGGCCCAGACUCCUACGGGAGGCAGCAGUGGGGAAUAUUGCACAAUGGGGGAAACCCUGAUGCAGCGACGCCGCGUGAAGGAAGAAGUAUCUCGGUAUGUAAACUUCUAUCAGCAGGGAAGAUAGUGACGGUACCUGACUAAGAAGCCCCGGCUAACUACGUGCCAGCAGCCGCGGUAAUACGUAGGGGGCAAGCGUUAUCCGGAUUUACUGGGUGUAAAGGGAGCGUAGACGGUGUGGCAAGUCUGAUGUGAAAGGCAUGGGCUCAACCUGUGGACUGCAUUGGAAACUGUCAUGCUUGAGUGUCGGAGGGGUAAGCGGAAUUCCUAGUGUAGCGGUGAAAUGCGUAGAUAUUAGGAGGAACACCAGUGGCGAAGGCGGCU
This 643-nucleotide ribosomal RNA is filed under the name uncultured Lachnospiraceae bacterium. Its description in RNAcentral is "bacterial SSU rRNA". It matches the Rfam family "Bacterial small subunit ribosomal RNA", at positions 68 to 726 of the family's 1533-position model. Lineage: Bacteria; Bacillati; Bacillota; Clostridia; Lachnospirales; Lachnospiraceae. The record is from RNAcentral.